AAAUAAGAAUUGAUAUAUCAUAUAUGAUUUCGGCUCAUACUUAGGUGUUAAUAUGCCCUUAUUUA
RNAcentral lists this transfer RNA (65 nucleotides) under Gonatus pyros. Its description in RNAcentral is "partial tRNA-Arg". Lineage: Eukaryota; Metazoa; Mollusca; Cephalopoda; Oegopsida; Gonatidae. The record is from RNAcentral.